CAUUCAAGUUUCUGACCUAUCAGCUUUAGACGGUAGGGUAUUGGCCUACCGUGGCUAUGACGGGUAACGGGGAAUUAGGGUUCGAUUCCGGAGAGGGAGCCUGAGAAACGGCUACCACAUCUAAGGAAGGCAGCAGGCGCGCAAAUUACCCAAUCCUAAUACAGGGAGGUAGUGACAAGAAAUAACAAUACAGAGCCUUACGGUUUUGUAAUUGGAAUGAGUUAAGUAUAAACCCCUUAACAAGUAUCAAUUGGAGGGCAAGUCUGGUGCCAGCAGCCGCGGUAAUUCCAGCCCCAAUAGCGUAUAUUAAAGUUGUUGCAGUUAAAAAGCUCGUAGUUAAUUUUCUGUUAAUUUUUAUAUACAAUGCUACGGUAUUUAUAUAAUAUUAACAUAAUUCAUAUUACUUUUUAGUAUAUGAAACUUUACUUUGAGAAAAUUAGAGUGCUUAAAGCAGGCUAUUGCCUUGAAUACUCCAGCAUGGAAUAAUAUUAAGGAUUUUUAUUCUUCUUAUUGGUUCUAGAAUAAAAAUAAUGAUUAAUAGGGACAGUUGGGGGCAUUUGUAUUUAACAGUCAGAGGUGAAAUUCUUAGAUUUGUUAAAGACAAACUACUGCGAAAGCAUUUGCCAAGGAUGUUUUCAUUAAUCAAGAACGAAAGUUAGGGGAUCGAAGACGAUCAGAUACCGUCGUA
Molecule: ribosomal RNA, 688 nt
Filed under: Cryptosporidium ryanae
Lineage: Eukaryota; Apicomplexa; Conoidasida; Eucoccidiorida; Cryptosporidiidae
Description: SSU rRNA
Rfam family: Eukaryotic small subunit ribosomal RNA
Source: RNAcentral